GAGUUUGAUCAUGGCUCAGAAUGAACGUUGGCGGCGUGGAUUAGGCAUGCAAGUCGAGCGAGAACCCCGCAAGGGGGACGAGCGGCAAACGGGGUAGUAAUGUGUCGGAACGUGCCCUGAGGUCGGGGAUAGCGGCGGGAAACUGCCGGUAAUACCCGAUGAUCUCGAGAGAGCAAAGGUGUGAUUCCGCCUUUGGAGCGGCCGACAUGGUAUUAGCUAGUUGGCGGGGUAACGGCCCACCAAGGCUGUGAUGCCUAGGGGAUGUGAGAGCAUGAUCCCCACCAUUGGGACUGAGACACUGCCCAGACACCUACGGGUGGCUGCAGUCGAGAAUCUUCGUCAAUGGGCGAAAGCCUGAACGAGCGACGCCGCGUGCGGGAUGAAGGCCUUUGGGUUGUAAACCGCUGUCGAGGGGAUGAAGGCUUGAAGUCAUCUUUCAAGUUUGACAGAGCCCUGGAGGAAGCACGGGCUAAGUUCGUGCCAGCCGCCGCCGUAAC
Molecule: ribosomal RNA, 497 nt
Filed under: uncultured Planctomycetia bacterium
Lineage: Bacteria; Pseudomonadati; Planctomycetota; Planctomycetia
Description: bacterial SSU rRNA
Rfam family: Bacterial small subunit ribosomal RNA
Source: RNAcentral